GCAAGGUUAACCGUAUAGGGGAGCCGGAGGGAAACCGAGUCUUAAUUGGGCGUUAAGUUGCAGGGUAUAGACCCGAAACCCGGUGAUCUAGCCAUGGGCAGGUUGAAGGUUGGGUAACACUAACUGGAGGACCGAACCGACUAAUGUUGAAAAAUUAGCGGAUGACCUGUGGCUGGGGGUGAAAGGCCAAUCAAACCGGGAGAUAGCUGGUUCUCCCCGAAAGCUAUUUAGGUAGCGCCUCGUGAAUUCAUCUCCGGGGGUAGAGCACUGUUUCGGCUAGGGGGCCAUCCCGGCUUACCAACCCGAUGCAAACUGCGAAUACCGGAGAAUGUUAUCACGGGAGACACACGGCGGGUGCUAACGUCCGUCGUGAAGAGGGAAACAACCCAGACCGCCAGCUAAGGUCCCAAAGUCAUGGUUAAGUGGGAAACGAUGUGGGAAGGCCCAGACAGCCAGGAUGUUGGCUUAGAAGCAGCCAUCAUUUAAAGAAAGCGUAAUAGCUCACUGGUCGAGUCGGCCUGCGCGGAAGAUGUAACGGGGCUAAACCAUGCACCGAAGCUGCGGCAGCGAACGUAUCACCCAAGACAACUUUACGGAGUUGACGAUUGACGGAGCGAAGCGACGUCAAAGCGUUCAUUAAAGUCGAGUUGGCUUAGGGAUACGUUCGUUGGGUAGGGGAGCGUUCUGUAAGCCUGUGAAGGUGUGUCGUGAGGCAUGCUGGAGGUAUCAGAAGUGCGAAUGCUGACAUAAGUAACGAUAAAGCGGGUGAAAAGCCCGCUCGCCGGAAGACCAAGGGUUCCUGUCCAACGUUAAUCGGGGCAGGGUGAGUCGACCCCUAAGGCGAGGCCGAAAGGCGUAGUCGAUGGGAAACGGGUUAAUAUUCCCGUACUUGGUGUUACUGCGAAGGGGGGACGGAGAAGGCUAUGUUGGCCGGGCGACGGUUGUCCCGGUUUAAGCGUGUAGGUGUGUGUUCCAGGUAAAUCCGGUU
Molecule: ribosomal RNA, 988 nt
Filed under: Salmonella enterica
Lineage: Bacteria; Pseudomonadati; Pseudomonadota; Gammaproteobacteria; Enterobacterales; Enterobacteriaceae
Description: partial 23S ribosomal RNA
Rfam family: Bacterial large subunit ribosomal RNA
Source: RNAcentral